GCGGGAUUAGUUUAAUGGUAGAACGUCAGUUUUCCAAACUGAGAGCACCGGUCCGAUUCCGGUAUCCCGCA
Molecule: transfer RNA, 71 nt
Filed under: Patescibacteria group bacterium
Lineage: Bacteria
Description: tRNA-Gly
Rfam family: tRNA
About the family: Transfer RNA (tRNA) molecules are approximately 80 nucleotides in length.
Source: RNAcentral